UGACCGCUCCUCUGCCUGGGGAGCCAAGGCUACACGGACGGCCGGGUCAAAUGCCGA
RNAcentral lists this small RNA (57 nucleotides) under uncultured Intestinimonas sp. Its description in RNAcentral is "Streptococcus sRNA SpF59 (ldcC RNA)". It matches the Rfam family "Streptococcus sRNA SpF59 (ldcC RNA)". Lineage: Bacteria; Bacillati; Bacillota; Clostridia; Eubacteriales. The record is from RNAcentral.